RNAcentral lists this ribosomal RNA (447 nucleotides) under uncultured bacterium. RNAcentral describes it as "SSU rRNA". It matches the Rfam family "Bacterial small subunit ribosomal RNA", at positions 26 to 518 of the family's 1533-position model. The record is from RNAcentral.
AGAGCGAACGCUGGCGGCAGGCUUAACACAUGCAAGUCGAGCGGAUGUAGCAAUACAUCAGCGGCAGACGGGUGAGUAACACGUGGGAACGUACCUUUUGGUUCGGAACAACACAGGGAAACUUGUGCUAAUACCGGAUAAGCCCUUACGGGGAAAGAUUUAUCGCCGAAAGAUCGGCCCGCGUCUGAUUAGCUAGUUGGUGAGGUAAUGGCUCACCAAGGCGACGAUCAGUAGCUGGUCUGAGAGAAUGAUCAGCCACAUUGGGACUGAGACACGGCCCAAACUCCUACGGGAGGCAGCAGUGGGGAAUAUUGGACAAUGGGCGCAAGCCUGAUCCAGCCAUGCCGCGUGAGUGAUGAAGGCCCUAGGGUUGUAAAGCUCUUUGUGCGGGAAGAUAAUGACGGUACCGCAAGAAUAACGCCCGGCUAACUUCGUGCCAGCAGCCGC